This 330-nucleotide unclassified non-coding RNA is filed under the name fungal sp. RNAcentral's name for it is "partial internal transcribed spacer region". The stretch from base 1 to 46 matches the Rfam family "Eukaryotic small subunit ribosomal RNA", at positions 1786 to 1831 of the family's 1831-position model. Lineage: Eukaryota; Fungi. The record is from RNAcentral.
AAGUCGUAACAAGGUUUCCGUAGGUGAACCUGCGGAAGGAUCAUUAAUGCAAAGAUACGCAAUUCCCUUUGCCGGGAACGGCUAUCGAUAUACCCUCACCAAACGCUCGGCUUCUUGUGUUGCCCACCAGCGACAAAAAAGGCUCGACGUCACAAGCAACCUGAGAAACGAUUUUCCUUUUUGGGAAAAUUUGUUCUCUAUUCCUCUUUUUUACCAUCAUUACACCCUUCUUUUAAACUAGUAGACUGAUAUGAAAAAAUGUUGUGACAUACAUUUCACACCAAAAAAAAAUGUAAAGAACAACUCUUAGCAAUGGAUAUCUAGGCUCUC